AAAUUUUUGACCAGGAAUCAUUUAUUUGGACUAGAAAUAUAAAACAAACAAAAACUUUCAAGAAGAUUACUUUCUCUUUUUCCUUUAUCUUUUUUAAGGGUUGGGGGUGGGGGCUUAUUUUAAGAGUUCUGAAAGUGGUGUUUAACAACAACUAUCUAUCAAUCAAGUGCCGAUAACUGGUCAUAUGAUAAAUUAUAUGUAUCUAUUUUUUGGACAUAGGAGUCUUGAUUGUAAUUUUUGCCAUGUUUCAAUGUUUUAUAUACUUAUUGCCAUUCCAUGAUAAAACUUGUAGUUAAGGGGGUUCGCGGUUCUAAAUCAUUUAUAUAGGAUUUCUCUAUAUUUUUCUGUAAAUGAACUUGAUCUUAUAGUUAGAAAAAUAA
This 380-nucleotide long non-coding RNA is filed under the name Mytilus galloprovincialis (Mediterranean mussel). Lineage: Eukaryota; Metazoa; Mollusca; Bivalvia; Mytilida; Mytilidae. The record is from RNAcentral.